Molecule: ribosomal RNA, 253 nt
Filed under: uncultured bacterium
Lineage: Bacteria
Description: partial 16S ribosomal RNA
Rfam family: Bacterial small subunit ribosomal RNA
Source: RNAcentral
UACGUAGGGGGCAAGCGUUGUCCGGAUUUACUGGGCGUAAAGAGCGUGUAGGCGGCCAGACAGGUCCGUUGUGAAAACUGGAGGCUCAACCUUCAGACGUCGACGGAAACCGUCUGGCUAGAGUGUGGUAGAGGGAGAUGGAAUUCCGCAUGUAGCAGUGAAAUGCGUAGAUAUGCGGAGGAACACCAAUGGCGAAGGCAAUCUCCUGGACCUGCACUGACGCUCAUGCACGAAAGCGUGGGGAGCAAACAGG